UGGACGCUGGCGGCGUGCCUAAUACAUGCAAGUCGAGCGAACAGAUACGGAGCUUGCUCCUUUGACGUUAGCGGCGGACGGGUGAGUAACACGUGGGUAACCUACCUAUAAGACUGGGAUAACUUCGGGAAACCGGAGCUAAUACCGGAUAACAUUUGGAACCGCAUGGUUCUAAAGUGAAAGAUGGUUUUGCUAUCACUUAUAGAUGGACCCGCGCCGUAUUAGCUAGUUGGUAAGGUAACGGCUUACCAAGGCGACGAUACGUAGCCGACCUGAGAGGGUGAUCGGCCACACUGGAACUGAGACACGGUCCAGACUCCUACGGGAGGCAGCAGUAGGGAAUCUUCCGCAAUGGGCGAAAGCCUGACGGAGCAACGCCGCGUGAGUGAUGAAGGGGUUCGGCUCGUAAAACUCUGUUAUUAGGGAAGAACAAAUGUGUAAGUAACUGUGCACGUCUUGACGGUACCUAAUCAGAAAGCCACGGCUAACUACGUG
This 495-nucleotide ribosomal RNA is filed under the name uncultured bacterium. RNAcentral describes it as "partial 16S ribosomal RNA". It matches the Rfam family "Bacterial small subunit ribosomal RNA", at positions 30 to 507 of the family's 1533-position model. The record is from RNAcentral.